RNAcentral lists this ribosomal RNA (218 nucleotides) under uncultured bacterium. RNAcentral describes it as "partial 16S ribosomal RNA". It matches the Rfam family "Bacterial small subunit ribosomal RNA", at positions 524 to 739 of the family's 1533-position model. The record is from RNAcentral.
GACAGAGGGUGCAAACGUUUGUUCGGAAUUACUGGGCGUAAAGCGCGUGUAGGCGGCCAACUAAGUCGGGCGUGAAAUCCCACGGCUCAACCGUGGAAGUGCACUCGAAACUGGAUGGCUAGAGUCCUGGAGAGGAAGGUGGAAUGCUUGGUGUAGAGGUGAAAUUCGUAGAUAUCAAGCGGAAACACCGGUGGCGAAGGCGGCCUUCUGGACAGUGA